Molecule: ribosomal RNA, 429 nt
Filed under: Leptodactylus chaquensis group sp. ABGD cluster 7
Lineage: Eukaryota; Metazoa; Chordata; Amphibia; Anura; Leptodactylidae
Description: partial large subunit ribosomal RNA
Rfam family: Bacterial large subunit ribosomal RNA
Source: RNAcentral
CUUGAACCCUAUAAGAGGUCCAGCCUGCCCAGUGACUUUGUUCAACGGCCGCGGUAUCCUAACCGUGCGAAGGUAGCGUAAUCACUUGUUCUUUAAAUGAGGACUAGUAUGAAUGGCACCACGAAGGUUAUACUGUCUCCUUUCUUUAAUCAGUGAAACUAAUCUCCCCGUGAAGAAGCGGGGAUUAGCCUAUAAGACGAGAAGACCCUAUGGAGCUUUAAACAUAAGUAACAACUGCCCAUUAAAUUUUUUAAUCUCAGGAGAUUAAUCACAACACUUAGGCACUUUGAUUACAAGUUUUAGGUUGGGGUGACCGCGGAGCAAAAAAUAACCUCCGCAGUGAAUGGAACUUAUCUCCUAAACCCAGGGCUACGACCCUAAGAAUCAAUAAAUUGACACUGAUUGACCCAAUAUUUCUGAUCAAUGAAC